RNAcentral lists this non-coding RNA (98 nucleotides) under Lactobacillus kalixensis. RNAcentral's name for it is "Guanine sequence". It matches the Rfam family "Purine riboswitch aptamer". From Rfam's summary of the family: Riboswitches are metabolite binding domains within certain messenger RNAs that serve as precision sensors for their corresponding targets. The record is from RNAcentral. Lineage: Bacteria; Bacillati; Bacillota; Bacilli; Lactobacillales; Lactobacillaceae.
GAUUAAGCCAACACAAAUAUCUAUAUAAAGUUGCAAUAUGGGCAACAGUUUCUACCCACUACCGUAAAUAGUGGACUAUAGGUAAACGAAAAUUAAGA